Molecule: transfer RNA, 44 nt
Filed under: Macaca fascicularis (crab-eating macaque)
Lineage: Eukaryota; Metazoa; Chordata; Mammalia; Primates; Cercopithecidae
Description: partial tRNA-Asp
Source: RNAcentral
AAGAUAUUAGAAAAAAUCAUUUCAUAGCUUCGUCAAAGCUAAAU